RNAcentral lists this ribosomal RNA (275 nucleotides) under uncultured bacterium. RNAcentral's name for it is "partial 16S ribosomal RNA". It matches the Rfam family "Bacterial small subunit ribosomal RNA", at positions 523 to 797 of the family's 1533-position model. The record is from RNAcentral.
AUACGGAGGGUGCAAGCGUUAUUCGGAAUCACUGGGCGUAAAGGGUGCGUAGGCGGUUUGAUAAGUCUGAUGUGAAAUCCUAUGGCUCAACCAUAGAACUGCAUUGGAAACUGUCAGACUAGAAUACUGAAGGGGCAGAUGGAAUUAGUGGUGUAGGGGUAAAAUCCGUAGAUAUCACUAGGAAUACCGAAAGCGAAAGCGAUCUGCUGGGAAGUUAUUGACGCUGAGGCACGAAAGCGUGGGGAGCAAACGGGAUUAGAUACCCCAGUAGUCCC